This 292-nucleotide ribosomal RNA is filed under the name uncultured bacterium. RNAcentral describes it as "partial 16S ribosomal RNA". It matches the Rfam family "Bacterial small subunit ribosomal RNA", at positions 505 to 796 of the family's 1533-position model. The record is from RNAcentral.
GUGCCAGCCGCCGCGGUAAUACGGAGGGUGCAAGCGUUGUCCGGAUUUAUUGGGUUUAAAGGGUGCGUAGGCGGCUAUUUAAGUCAGUGGUGAAAUCCUGCAGCUUAACUGUAGAACAGCCAUUGAUACUGGAUAGCUUGAGUACAGACGAGGUAGGCGGAAUUUAUGGUGUAGCGGUGAAAUGCAUAGAUACCAUAAAGAACCCCUAUUGCGAAGGCAGCUUACUAGGCUGUAACUGACGCUGAGGCACGAAAGCGUGGGGAUCAAACAGGAUUAGAAACCCGAGUAGUCC